UACGGGGGGGGCAAGCGUUGUUCGGAAUUACUGGGCGUAAAGGGCGCGUAGGCGGUCUGUCGCGUCGGAUGUGAAAACUCGGGGCUCAACCCCGAGCCUGCAUUCGAUACGGGCAGACUAGAGUUCGGUAGGGGAGACUGGAAUUCCUGGUGUAGCGGUGAAAUGCGCAGAUAUCAGGAGGAACACCGGUGGCGAAGGCGGGUCUCUGGGCCGAUACUGACGCUGAGGAGCGAAAGCGUGGGGAGCGAACAGG
This 253-nucleotide ribosomal RNA is filed under the name uncultured bacterium. RNAcentral's name for it is "partial 16S ribosomal RNA". It matches the Rfam family "Bacterial small subunit ribosomal RNA", at positions 524 to 776 of the family's 1533-position model. The record is from RNAcentral.